UCCAACCCUCAGAAGUCUUUAAUCAUAUUUGAGACAAAAAUCAUGUAAAACAAGUUCUUAAGACAUUUGUACAAAAUGAAGUCAUACUUAUCACAGUGCUUAACAAAAUAAAAAUAAAAAAUAAUGCAGUUGCAGUGAAUAGGAUAGGAGUGUUUUAUAUUGAAUGCAGUAUAAUGGAAGGAAAAAGGAAAAAACAACACAUCAUCACAACCAAAAUUAAAUACCAUUGUAAAAAAAACAAAGCUUCUAAGCUUAAUACAAAUAACACAACUAGUCUGUAGGAUGGAGAGCAUAAAAGGUAAUCAACAAUAUGAUAGUCAAUAAACUUGUUUUGUCGGGCUAGUUACGUUAUUGCAAUGUACAGACACAACAAUCAGUGAUCUAUGUUGUACACAUGUGACAUGAGUAAGCUAUCAGUGAUCUAUGUUGUACACAUGUGACAUGAGUAAGCUAUCAGUGAUCUAUGUUGUACACAU
Biomphalaria pfeifferi is the source of this 476-nucleotide non-coding RNA. Lineage: Eukaryota; Metazoa; Mollusca; Gastropoda; Planorbidae. The record is from the annotation of a GenBank genome assembly.